This 416-nucleotide ribosomal RNA is filed under the name uncultured bacterium. RNAcentral's name for it is "bacterial SSU rRNA". It matches the Rfam family "Bacterial small subunit ribosomal RNA", at positions 30 to 445 of the family's 1533-position model. The record is from RNAcentral.
AUUGAACGCUGGCGGCAUGCCUUACACAUGCAAGUCGAACGGUAACGGGCCUUCGGGUGCCGACGAGUGGCGAACGGGUGAGUAAUGCAUCGGAACGUACCUUUCAGUGGGGGAUAACGUAGCGAAAGUUACGCUAAUACCGCAUAUUCUGUGAGCAGGAAAGCAGGGGAUCGCAAGACCUUGCGCUGAUUGAGCGGCCGAUGUCAGAUUAGCUAGUUGGUGAGGUAAAGGCUCACCAAGGCGACGAUCUGUAGCGGGUCUGAGAGGAUGAUCCGCCACACUGGAACUGAGACACGGUCCAGACUCCUACGGGAGGCAGCAGUGGGGAAUUUUGGACAAUGGGGGCAACCCUGAUCCAGCCAUGCCGCGUGAGUGAAGAAGGCCUCGGGUUGGUUAAAGACGUCUUUCGGUCCGGG